GUUUACAAAACUAGGAGCAUCAGCUCUCCUUUUUCCAGUGAGUUUGCAGCAAAGCAGGGGUGGUGACUGCAGUUGCAGAGAAAGAAGGCAGCUGCUAAGCAUUGUCUAUGUUUUAAUAAGCGUAUCUCAGUUCUCUGUUUUUUUACAAUUCCAACGACUGUGACUCUGUGUGGUCACCUCGUGUUGUAUGCAGCAACAUGCAAUGAAUAUUUACUGAGGAUGAAUUGGCACUGUUGUAUGGGAACUGUUGAGUCACGGCCUGAACCACUGAUUGAUCAGCUGAGGCAAGGACUGAGUCAGCCAUAGGAGCACAGGGGAAGGCAAUUCAGCUGUGACCGCCUGGCUCCACCCCUCCCAGAUCCCAUUUAAGGGCUGACAGGCAGUAGAAAAGAAUCUCUUUCUGGAGGUUCCUCCUCUGUGGAGUCUUUCCUGUGAAGCUAGAUCUUUGGACACAGCUGAGCAUUCCUUCCCUGUUCGUUUCUUUUCCCAAUUUCAUCAUGAUAAUCUUUCCAGCUGUAGCAACAACUGUAUAACACAGCACUAUGGGAUGUGUGAUGAAACAGAGAGGACCAUCUGGGUCAUCUUGUCGAUACCACAGCCUCAAUGUGCCAUCUCCCGUCUGCUAUGCUGGGUUCCCACAGGAGCAGCAAUCCUCUGCCCAGGUCUCCUGUAGCCCACCAGCCCUGUCCCGAACUCCUGCUGUCACUGCAAACCCUCAGCAAAAUGAUGCUGCUAGGGUGAUGCUCUUACUUGCCUCCACAGUCUUCUGCACCUUGUUGGAUGUGGGUUCAGGAUAGCAGAACCUGUUGCAUCUGUUCCUGGCUUCUGUCGUAAGAAACUUCCUGAUUUAUCCACACUAACAAAUGACCCUGUUUGGAGAGGCUGUUCAGAGGGUCCCUAUAAAUGCAGCAGUCUCUCUGUGCCUAUGAGCAGUGGAAAGAACGACUCCCACGGCCAAGCUGCCGUGUCCUUGGGGUCAGAUGGCAGCAGGGUGCUGGGCUGUGGCUCUGGACGUGGUGGGACACAUUCUGAGCUCUGUGCUGUCUACAGCACUGGGAUAGCGAGCCUGGGGUUAUGUGGGCACCCAACAGGGUAGGCAGAUCCUUAUUUUGGACAGGUGGGCAGGCAGGCCUGCCAUUCCCUGAAAACAGAAUCUCUGCUGAAGAGCAUUAGAUGUUGCUUUUCUUUGUGCCAGUGGUGGCCAGAGGCAAUGACAGCAGCAGCGUCCUUAUUUGGAUGCAGUGUUUUCAACAGUUAUUUUAACAGGUCAGAAGUGAUGGAUCAGAACGGAAUUUAACUCAUUUCAAUGUUGCUGAAGCCAUUAAUGUUGUGUCAUGGUGUGCAUGCAGAAGAACCUCAUCCCCCUCCCAGCCCUAUGAAACGCACAGCAUCCAUUUGAACAAAGGAGCAACUGACCCAGCCGAGGGCUGACUGUGGCACAAUGCAGUGGUCUCUGGAAGAAGGGAAGGUGCAGGAAGGCCCUACCUGGGGGUCAGCUCCAGCCAUGAGAGCUGGUAGACGUGCAGACAGGUGGGAGCUGCAAACCCACGUUAUUUCUGCACCCCUGUGCACAAACACUCACUGACCGAGCUCUUACACUCUGCCAUAAAAUGUAAUGUCUUAUUGCUCCUGGAAUACGUGUGUUCCCAGAGCUGAUGUCUGUAGCCCAUAAGAGCAUAUGAUGAGUUCUCUUAGCGAGCAUGAACGCUGGUGUUGUAAGCACAGACAGUGCAAUAUUGACAACAUUUUGCUCUAGCGUUUAGUAUGAAUUUCACACGAGUAUUAGAAUGACGAGCAGCUUUUCUACAUGUGUAUUGAUUCAGCAACAGAAAAAUAACAACCUCUCAUUCAGCCAUUUUAUUGUCUGAACAAUAAAAGAUUCUGCUGGGUGAUUUGAGUCA
Long non-coding RNA from Phasianus colchicus (ring-necked pheasant), 1901 nucleotides. NCBI's taxonomy places the organism in Eukaryota, Metazoa, Chordata, Aves, Galliformes, Phasianidae. The record is from Ensembl.